This 257-nucleotide ribosomal RNA is filed under the name uncultured bacterium. Its description in RNAcentral is "partial 16S ribosomal RNA". It matches the Rfam family "Bacterial small subunit ribosomal RNA", at positions 1246 to 1500 of the family's 1533-position model. The record is from RNAcentral.
GAAGCGAUCCCGCGAGGAGGAGCAAAUCUGAAAAAAGCGUCCCUAGUUCGGAUUGUAGGCUGAAACUCGCCUACAUGAAGCUGGAGUUGCUAGUAAUCGCGAAUCAGCAUGUCGCGGUGAAUACGUUCCCGGGCCUUGUACACACCGCCCGUCACACCAUGAGAGUUGGCAAUACCCAACGUACGUGAUCUAACCCGCAAGGGAGGAAGCGUCCUAAGGUAGGGUCAGCGAUUGGGGUGAAGUCGUAACAAGGUAUC